GCACCUAUGGCUCAGUGGUAGAGCAUUCCACUUGUAUCUGCAAUUUGGUAAUGGAAAGGUCCGCGGUUCGAUCCCGCGUGGGUGCA
Transfer RNA from Aspergillus clavatus NRRL 1, 86 nucleotides. It matches the Rfam family "tRNA". Rfam says of the family: Transfer RNA (tRNA) molecules are approximately 80 nucleotides in length. Their secondary structure includes four short double-helical elements and three loops (D, anti-codon, and T loops). Further hydrogen bonds mediate the characteristic L-shaped molecular structure. tRNAs have two regions of fundamental functional importance: the anti-codon, which is responsible for specific mRNA codon recognition, and the 3' end, to which the tRNAs corresponding amino acid is attached (by aminoacyl-tRNA synthetases). tRNAs cope with the degeneracy of the genetic code in two manners: having more than one tRNA (with a specific anti-codon) for a particular amino acid; and 'wobble' base-pairing, i.e. permitting non-standard base-pairing at the 3rd anti-codon position. The record is from Rfam. NCBI's taxonomy places the organism in Eukaryota, Fungi, Ascomycota, Eurotiomycetes, Eurotiales, Aspergillaceae.